GGUCCAGACUCCUACGGGAGGCAGCAGUGGGGAAUAUUGCACAAUGGGGGAAGCCCUGAUGCAGCGACGCCGCGUGAGCGAUGAAGUAUUUCGGUAUGUAAAGCUCUAUCAGCAGGGAAGAAAAUGACGGUACCUGACUAAGAAGCCCCGGCUAACUACGUGCCAGCAGCCGCGGUAAUACGUAGGGGGCAAGCGUUAUCCGGAUUUACUGGGUGUAAAGGGAGCGUAGACGGCGAUGCAAGUCUGAAGUGAAAGGCGGGGGCCCAACCCCCGGACUGCUUUGGAAACUGUAUGGCUGGAGUGCAGGAGAGGUAAGUGGAAUUCCUAGUGUAGCGGUGAAAUGCGUAGAUAUUAGGAGGAACACCAGUGGCGAAGGCGGCCUGCUGGACGAUGACUGACGUUGAGGCUCGAAAGCGUGGGGAGCAAACAGGAUUAGAUACCCCCGUA
Molecule: ribosomal RNA, 447 nt
Filed under: uncultured bacterium
Lineage: Bacteria
Description: bacterial SSU rRNA
Rfam family: Bacterial small subunit ribosomal RNA
Source: RNAcentral